This 497-nucleotide ribosomal RNA is filed under the name uncultured bacterium. Its description in RNAcentral is "partial 16S ribosomal RNA". It matches the Rfam family "Bacterial small subunit ribosomal RNA", at positions 28 to 507 of the family's 1533-position model. The record is from RNAcentral.
GACGAGCGCUGGCGGCGUGCCUAAUACAUGCAAGUAGAACGCUGAAGAGAGGAGCUUGCUCUUCUUGGAUGAGUUGCGAACGGGUGAGUAACGCGUAGGUAACCUGCCUGGUAGCGGGGGAUAACUAUUGGAAACGAUAGCUAAUACCGCAUAAAAUGGAUUAUCGCAUGAUAAUCCAUUGAAAGGUGCAAAUGCAUCACUACCAGAUGGACCUGCGUUGUAUUAGCUAGUUGGUGGGGUAACGGCUCACCAAGGCGACGAUACAUAGCCGACCUGAGAGGGUGAUCGGCGACACUGGGACUGAGACACGGCCCAGACUCCUACGGGAGGCAGCAGUAGGGAAUCUUCGGCAAUGGACGGAAGGCUGACCGAGCAACGCCGCGUGAGUGAAGAAGGUUUUCGGAUCGUAAAGCUCUGUUGUAAGAGAAGAACGAGUGUGAGAGUGGAAAGUUCACACUGUGACGGUAUCUUACCAGAAAGGGACGGCUAACUACGUG